GCCAACGUUCAUAUCUCAUUGAGUAUACCAGUUCUCGUCCGAUCACUGAAGUCAAGCAAUGAUGAGCGCGGUCAGUACUUGGAUGGGUGACCGCUUGGGAACACCGCGUAGCGUUGGCU
This 119-nucleotide ribosomal RNA is filed under the name Chelonus insularis. The record is from RNAcentral. Lineage: Eukaryota; Metazoa; Arthropoda; Insecta; Hymenoptera; Braconidae.